This 74-nucleotide transfer RNA is filed under the name Camelus bactrianus (Bactrian camel). It matches the Rfam family "tRNA". From Rfam's summary of the family: Transfer RNA (tRNA) molecules are approximately 80 nucleotides in length. Their secondary structure includes four short double-helical elements and three loops (D, anti-codon, and T loops). RNAcentral also lists the same sequence under 2 other names. The record is from Rfam by way of RNAcentral. Lineage: Eukaryota; Metazoa; Chordata; Mammalia; Artiodactyla; Camelidae.
GAGGGUAUAGCUCAAGCGGUAGAGCGCUUGCUUGGGAUGCACGAGGCCCUGGGUUCAAUUCCCCAGAGCCACCU